RNAcentral lists this transfer RNA (80 nucleotides) under Podarcis lilfordi (Lilford's wall lizard). RNAcentral describes it as "tRNA.Lys". The stretch from base 8 to 65 matches the Rfam family "tRNA", at positions 8 to 63 of the family's 71-position model. Rfam says of the family: Transfer RNA (tRNA) molecules are approximately 80 nucleotides in length. Lineage: Eukaryota; Metazoa; Chordata; Lepidosauria; Squamata; Lacertidae. The record is from RNAcentral.
ACUGGGAUAGCUCAAUUGGUAGAGUAUGAGACUCUUAAACUCAAGGCUGUGGGUUCGAGCCCCACAAAAAGAUUCCUGCA